RNAcentral lists this ribosomal RNA (775 nucleotides) under uncultured Neocallimastigales. RNAcentral's name for it is "partial large subunit ribosomal RNA". It matches the Rfam family "Eukaryotic large subunit ribosomal RNA", at positions 24 to 647 of the family's 3401-position model. The record is from RNAcentral. Lineage: Eukaryota; Fungi; Neocallimastigomycota; Neocallimastigomycetes; Neocallimastigales.
GUAGUCUCGCACAGAUGCAUAUCAAUAAGCGGAGGAAAAGAAACUAACAAGGGAUUCCCCUAGUAACGGCGAGUGAAGCGGGAAGAGCUCAAAUUUGAAAUCUUAAAGGGUUUCCCUUUACGAAUUGUAGUUUAAAGAAGUGUUUUCUGUUGAGGUUUUGGUAAAAGUUCUUUGGAAUAGGACAUCAUAGAGGGUGAGAAUCCCGUAUUUGACCUUUACUUUCAACUUUGUGAUACACUUUCAAAGAGUCGGAUUGUUUGGGAAUGCAGUCCAAAAUGGGUGGUAAAUUUCAUCUAAAGCUAAAUAUUGGCGAGAGACCGAUAGCGAACAAGUACCGUGAGGGAAAGAUGAAAAGAACUUUGAAAAGAGAGUUAAACAGUACGUGAAAUUGUCAAAAGGGAAGCGUUUGACACCAGUGUUGUUUUUCUGAAAAUCAAUUAAAGAACUGUUUAUGCUAAGCUGUUUAGACUUUAUCAGCUAUCUGUUUAGUUUUGAGCUUUUCUUUAAUGCACUUUUCAGUUAACAAGUCAACAUCAAUUUCUUUUGCUGUAAAAAAGCUUGAGGAAGGUGGCUUGAGAUUCGUCUUAAGUGUUUAUAGCCUCUUGCCUAUGCAGUCGGAGAGAUUGAGGUCUGCAGCGUAGAUCCUUCGGGGCUAAAUGCAUUUGUGCUAAGUUAUAGCAUUUUAUAGACAACUUGUUGACUAUGACUUGUCUUGUAGCUUACUCGCUUAUGUUAUUUUACCUACGCUUAGGAUGUUGACGCAUGAGAUAUACGC